Fundulus heteroclitus (mummichog) is the source of this 1780-nucleotide long non-coding RNA. RefSeq lists it as uncharacterized. Lineage: Eukaryota; Metazoa; Chordata; Actinopteri; Cyprinodontiformes; Fundulidae. The record is from RefSeq and is a predicted model, not a curated record. The transcript has 3 exons.
CUUCAAUGAAGAUCCUGGGAAUAGUAACACUCUGCAGUGCAUUAAUCAUCCUUGAGUGCUGGUUAAGAUUCUCUAAGAAACUAAUAAAGGACACAGAGGAAGCAGAUUUCGUCAACAGAGUGAUGGAGGUUCAGGAAUCAUGAGCCACAUGGAGAACAUGAAGAACAUGAAGAACAUUAAGUUCACUCUCAGGGACAGGAUGUUUUAUUUCUUCUGCCUUAUCUCUACCUAUACAUCUGUUAUUUUAAAUAGUUUCUUUAAGAUGUUUUUUCAUAGUUUUGGAGGUAUUUACAUUAUUUACAAAAAUUCUUCUUAGAAAGAAAACAAAUAAUACGUCUUCUACGUUGCGUCUACUGCAUAAACGAAACAGAAAUACAUGGUAUGCAAAAUAAGCAGCAGAGAUCUUUGAACUUGUUUGAUUCUCACUACUUAACACAAUCUGACGAGGUUUUAAAUAAACACCUGUUACAAUCCUACAACCUUUUAAUGCUGAUGUGAAGCUGGACACAAAAUGAAGCCUACAACCCCUGAAGCAGAAUGUUUAUGAGAACAUAUACAGAACCUAAGGUGCGAAGUAUAUAAACACCAGGAAAAAUACUGGAAUGUUACUGGAAUGCCACUUUUAAACCAUCCCAGACAAUACUGCCACAUUCUAGAUGAUAGCACUGGUGUAGAGCGACUACAACAAAUUGAGUAAGGAUCACAAUUCCUCAUCACAAUCUAAGAAACCCUGGAGUCUUGGUUCAAUUACAUGUUAAUAUCUAAAGGUGUAAAGUUCAAUAAUCCUUGAUCUUGUUUAGGUAGAGUUUACAUGCUUCCUUGUCGAGAGUGGCUUCGUGUACUGUGUUCAUAAUUGUGCAGAACAGAUGGUAAUGUGGCAAGUUUAAAGCCUUUUUUUGUUGCUUUCUGGACUUCCUUUUUUUUGCAUCCUGUCUGGCAGUGUAGCUCUAAGUCUGUCAUAAUGCUAAAUAGAGCCCAAUGAUUUACUUUAUCAAGUGGAUCAUUACUGCUUUCACUAUAUUGCUCCACUUGAUAUAUAUGCAAAAAACUUUAUUGGAUAUUAUUUUCAGACUAUUUCACAUUCAAUGGACUCGGAAACGGGAAGGUAAAAGAGAAAGAAAAGAAAAGAAAGUUUUGUUUAAUGUAUUUAGUGACAGCCAAAGCUAAUUAUUGGGUUUAUCUGUUUAGAGAGAGAUGGAUCUGUAAGCACUUGAAAACUCUGUUACCUGGCUCUGCCGGCUGUAACGCUACGCCAGAAUAGAUCCAGCAAUGGGCCCAGGGGCCCCCUGCCCCCCAGCAGGGCCCCAACAGAAAGUCUCUUCAUUGCAUUACCUGCUAUUCUGUUUCUGUGUGUUUACUUUUUGUAAGAUACUUUUUCUACAACAUGCCAUCUGAACUGUUAGAGAUGAUGAGGUUACAGAGACUGGACUGCAAUAUCGGUUACCCUGAAAAUGACAGAUAAACAGAUUGUGGAGGCACAGAGUCUGACAUACUUAGAUUGGAAAGAAUGAUUGAUUAGAGGAAAAUGUGUCAGCAAGGACAUGUCUGCAUUAUAGCAUGAUCCUCUCCACCAAUGUGAUGAACAGAACACUGAUAUCAUACUGGGCACGCCCUUGAAUGGGUGUACUGUACACAAUGGGUCCUACUUAAUGUCUGUGUGAGGAAUGAAUGAGGUGCUCUGGCAUCCGGAAAACUGCCCGUCGCAUUGUUGUCUAUGAGAGUCCAGAACCGAAGCUAUAAACAUCCCUCUGCCUUUCAGAUUAAAUAUGGUAAAAUAUAA